CACUGCCCUCGGCUUCUUUACAGUGCUGCCUUGUUGCAAAUGGAUCAAGCAGCAUUGUACAGGGCUAUGAAGGCAUUG
RNAcentral lists this microRNA precursor (78 nucleotides) under Camelus bactrianus (Bactrian camel). Its description in RNAcentral is "mir-103/107 microRNA precursor family". It matches the Rfam family "mir-103/107 microRNA precursor family". Rfam says of the family: This family consists of the mammalian microRNA (miRNA) precursors mir-103 and mir107. Lineage: Eukaryota; Metazoa; Chordata; Mammalia; Artiodactyla; Camelidae. RNAcentral also lists the same sequence under 2 other names. The record is from Rfam by way of RNAcentral.